Molecule: ribosomal RNA, 505 nt
Filed under: uncultured bacterium
Lineage: Bacteria
Description: partial 16S ribosomal RNA
Rfam family: Bacterial small subunit ribosomal RNA
Source: RNAcentral
GACGAACGCUGGCGGCGUGCCUAAUACAUGCAAGUCGAACGCACAGUUUAUACCGUUGCUUGCUACACCAUAGCCUGUGAGUUGCGAGUGGGUGAGUAAUGCGUAGGUAAUCUGCCUGGUAGCGGGGGAUGACUAUUGGAAACGAUAGCUAAUACCGCAUAAUAUUAAUUAUUCCAUGAUAAUUAAUUGAAAGGUGCAAUUGCACCACUACCAGAUGGACCUGCGGUGUAUUAGCUAGUAGGGGAGGUAACGGCUCACACAGGGCAAGAUACAUAGCCGACCUUGAAGGGGUGUCGGCCCCACUGGGACCUGGACACGGCCCAGACUCCUACGGGAGGCAGCAGUAGGGAAUCCUCGGCAAUGGAGGGAAGUCCUACCGAGCAACCGCGCGUGAGUGAAGAAAGUUUUCGGAUCGUAAAACUCUGUUUUAAGAGAAGAACGAGUGGGGGAGUGGAAAGUUCACACUGUGACGGUACCUAACCAGAAAGCGACGGCUAACUACGUG